This 218-nucleotide ribosomal RNA is filed under the name uncultured bacterium. RNAcentral describes it as "partial 16S ribosomal RNA". It matches the Rfam family "Bacterial small subunit ribosomal RNA", at positions 15 to 224 of the family's 1533-position model. The record is from RNAcentral.
GAUCCUGGCUCAGGAUGAACGCUAGCUACAGGCUUAACACAUGCAAGUCGAGGGGCAGCAUGGAAGAAGCUUGCUUCUUCUGAUGGCGACCGGCGCACGGGUGCGUAACGCGUAUCAAACCUGCCUCAUACUCGGGGAUAGCCUUGCGAAAGUAAGAUUAAUACCCGAUGUUGUUAUAUUUCCGCAUGGUGAUAUAACCAAAGAUUUAUCGGUAUGAG